RNAcentral lists this ribosomal RNA (532 nucleotides) under uncultured Cytophaga sp. RNAcentral's name for it is "bacterial SSU rRNA". It matches the Rfam family "Bacterial small subunit ribosomal RNA", at positions 366 to 896 of the family's 1533-position model. Lineage: Bacteria; Pseudomonadati; Bacteroidota; Cytophagia; Cytophagales; Cytophagaceae. The record is from RNAcentral.
GGUCAAUGGGCGCAAGCCUGAACCAGCCAUGCCGGCGUGAAUGAUGAAGGCCUUAUGNUUGUNAAACUCUUUUGNUACGGGAAGAAAACNCAGCUAUGCCUAGCUAACUGCAGGUACCGGAUGAAUAAGCACCGGCUAACUCCGUGCCAGCCGCCGCGAUAAUACGGAGGGUGCAAUCGUUCUCCGGACUUAUUGGGAUUAAAUGGUCCGGAGGCGUACCAAUAAGUCAGUGGAGAAAUCUCUCGGCUCAACCGUGAAACUGCCAUUGAUACUGUUGGUCUAGAGUGUAGAUGGCGUAGGCGGAAUGUAUCAUGUAGCGGUGAAAUGCUUAUAUAUGAUGCAGAACACCGAUCACGAAGGCAUUUUACGAAACUACAACUGACGCUCAGGGACGAAAGCGUGGGGAGCGAACAGGAUUAGAUACCCUGGUAGUCCACGCUGUAAACGAUGAUUACUCGUUGUCGGCGAUAUACAGUCGGUGGCUAAGCGAAAGUGAUAAGUAAUCCACCUGGGGAGUACGAUCGCAAGGUUG